This 301-nucleotide ribosomal RNA is filed under the name uncultured bacterium. RNAcentral describes it as "partial 16S ribosomal RNA". It matches the Rfam family "Bacterial small subunit ribosomal RNA", at positions 509 to 807 of the family's 1533-position model. The record is from RNAcentral.
CAGUCGCCGCGGGAAUACGUAGGGUGCGAGCGUUAAUCGGAAUUACUGGGCGUAAAGCGUGCGCAGGCGGUUUGUUAAGACAGAUGUGAAAUCCCCGGGCUUAACCUGGGAACUGCGCUUGUGACUGCACAGCUAGAGUAUGGCAGAGGGGGGUGGAAUUCCACGUGUAGCAGUGAAAUGCGUAGAGAUGUGGAGGAACACCGAUAGCGAAGGCAGCCCCCUGGGCCAAUACUGACGCUCAUGCACGAAAGCGUGGGGAGCAAACAGGAUUAGAUACCCCGGUAGUCCCUGUCUCUUAUAC